AUUGAACGCUGGCGGCAUGCUUUACACAUGCAAGUCGAACGGUAACAGGGUGCUUGCACCGCUGACGAGUGGCGAACGGGUGAGUAAUGCGUCGGAACGUGCCGAGUAGUGGGGGAUAACGCAGCGAAAGUUGUGCUAAUACCGCAUACGUACUGAGGUAGAAAGUGGGGGACCUUCGGGCCUCACGCUCUCCGAGCGGCCGACGUCUGAUUAGCUAGUAGGUGAGGUAAAGGGUCACCUAGGCGACGAUCAGUAGCGGGUCUGAGAGGAUGAUCCGCCACACUGGGACUGAGACACGGCCCAGACUCCUACGGGAGGCAGCAGUGGGGAAUUUUGGACAAUGGGCGAAAGCCUGAUCCAGCCAUGCCGCGUGUCUGAAGAAGGCCUUCGGGUUGUAAAGGACUUUUGACAGGGAGGAAAUCCCUAGUGCUAAUAACACUGGGGGAUGACAGUACCUGAAGAAUAAGCACCGGCUAACUACGUGCCAGCCGCCGCAGUAA
Molecule: ribosomal RNA, 500 nt
Filed under: uncultured bacterium
Lineage: Bacteria
Description: partial 16S ribosomal RNA
Rfam family: Bacterial small subunit ribosomal RNA
Source: RNAcentral